UCCCUGGUGGUCCAGUGGCUAAGACUCUGCGCUCCCGAUGUAGGGGCCUGGGUUCAAUCCCUGAUCAGGGAA
This 72-nucleotide transfer RNA is filed under the name Bos taurus (domestic cattle). It matches the Rfam family "tRNA". From Rfam's summary of the family: Transfer RNA (tRNA) molecules are approximately 80 nucleotides in length. Their secondary structure includes four short double-helical elements and three loops (D, anti-codon, and T loops). The record is from Rfam by way of RNAcentral. Lineage: Eukaryota; Metazoa; Chordata; Mammalia; Artiodactyla; Bovidae. RNAcentral also lists the same sequence under 3 other names.